This is a non-coding RNA of Acanthosepion pharaonis, 112 nucleotides long. The record is from the annotation of a GenBank genome assembly. Lineage: Eukaryota; Metazoa; Mollusca; Cephalopoda; Sepiida; Sepiidae.
UUAUGGCCACAUCAAGUUGAAACACCAGUUCCCGUACAAUCACCGAAGUUAAGCAACGUCGAACAUAGCCAGUACCUAGAUGGGUGACCGAUUGAGAAUACCUGGUGCUAUA